Long non-coding RNA from Brassica napus (rape), 1917 nucleotides. RefSeq lists it as uncharacterized. The transcript has 2 exons. NCBI's taxonomy places the organism in Eukaryota, Viridiplantae, Streptophyta, Magnoliopsida, Brassicales, Brassicaceae. The record is from RefSeq and is a predicted model, not a curated record.
AAGAUACAUAGUUGUUAAGACAAAGAAAAGAAAAGAAAAGAGUGUUCAUUGGGUAAGAGAUGAAAAUGGGUGUAUAUUUGGGAUUUGAGAUGAAGAAAAGAAAGGGUAGAACUUAAAAAUUGUCUAGGAAAAGGGUACAAUGAUGAGAACCGAUUUAUGUAUGCAUUAAUUGCUCCUUUUCUUAGAUAAAUUUUGCAUAAUGAUCAAGCUCCUAUUCUUGAGUGUAAGUCACCAUAGCAAAAUGUAUUUGGACCCUUCUCAUUCUUCACAUUAAGCCAUUUUUUCUCACCAAACCAAAUGAUUUGGACCAAUUGGCAAUUUGCGAGAAUUCACUUAUGAUAUUUCUUAUUGAAUGUGAGAGUUGGUUGAUUUGAGGAUUCAUGAUAAUGAGUUAAAAGAUCAAAGGAAUUGAUAGGCCUAGAGAAGUUAGAGCUAAUAAAAACAUUUUGCUCUUGCUAUUUGGUAUGAUUUUGUAAGGAUAUCACAACGAUGGCAUUGAAGAGUUUCUUAAGGUCAUGAAUUUCCAUUUGUGUAUUGAAACAUCACUUCCCAUGUUCUUGAAAGUUUACUUGAGGACAAGUAAAGGACUAGUGUGGGGGAGUUGAUGUGUUGUGAUUUUGCAUAGUUUUAGCUUUGUUAUUUCAUAUAUAUUCAUGCAUUAACCUUACAUUUAUUUGCAUUUAGAGUCUAUUGCAUGUACAUUUGCAUCUUGUAGGUGUUGGAUGAAUUGUUUGGAGUUUUGGAGGUGAUUAGAGCACAAAAGGAGCUUUCGAGGAGUCUUGAACCGAACGUGUGAAAGACAAGCAUGGAUGAAGGUCUUAAAGAUAUCUUUUGAAACUUGUCUUUUGGGAAGACAUGGUAAAUUGAGUUAGCUUUACAAUGGAGGUGGUUUCAAGUCGUUUGGAGCUGUAUUGAGGGAUUUAUGAUCAAAAUACUACACACAUAUCAGUGUGUGCAACAUGGAGAAAGUGGAGAAAACUUUAAUGAGUGAGUUUUAUCUCUUUAAAGCUUGCAACAUGGGGGAUGGGUUGUCUAUCAUGAGUUUGGUGGCUCUUUUGGCCUAACUUUCUCUACCUUUUCUGAAGAGGCAAGACUACUUUGGCCAUAUGAAGGGGCAAAAGGUGUUCUAUAAUGGAAGAAAGUGGAGAAUAACUUUUAUGAGUGUGUUUUAUGCUUUAUGCUUUCACAUGAUGGAUGUGUUGUCAUCCUCCUUUACUUAGGCUAUAAAAGAGACUGCAAGGGGAAGGAGGAAGACACAAUACACAGAGUACAAUACAACAAAGAGUAGAGAGUGAAAGUUUUAUAGUUUCAUAUUUUGUAUUUUGAGAGUUUGAGAGAAAACAUUUGUUCUUGGAGUGUUCUUGAAGUUUAUGUUAUAAAGUCUUGUUUUCCUUUAGCCAUUCUCUUCAUCUAAUUUCUGUUUCUUGUUUUCAUAUAUCAUAUCAUCUUGGUUAUGCUUCUAUCCAUCAUGGGAUUAAGUGUAAACAAGAUGAUUAGUGAGUAAUCACCCUUAGGAUCAAUGGGUUAGGUAGAUUAAUGGGUGAUUAGGGAAGAGUUAAGGUGUUCUAAUGGUUAAAUGCUUAGAUUUCUAUGCUUACUAAGUAUUCUUAAUGCUAGAUUAAUUUUGGCCAUUUUAAUCUAGAUUCUAAGUGUUUGUAGGGCAUCGAAAGUGUUUGCAUAAUGCUUGAAUGGACCUAGUAAAGCUCUAGCUUGAAUAACCAAGGAAUUGUUGUUAGGAUUGCUAGAUGGUUAGUAGACUAGAACUUAAUGUAUGUUUGAGUGAACAAAACGAACGGAAGUUGAUGUUUAGUUCAUAAUUGCAUAAGGGUUUCUACCACGGGAGUGGAUUAAUCUAAAUUGAAUGAAAUCUAGACCUAUAGAAAGUUAAGAUUAUUUGAAGUUAGACGCCUUGAUUUA